This 253-nucleotide ribosomal RNA is filed under the name uncultured bacterium. RNAcentral's name for it is "partial 16S ribosomal RNA". It matches the Rfam family "Bacterial small subunit ribosomal RNA", at positions 524 to 776 of the family's 1533-position model. The record is from RNAcentral.
UACGAAGGAUGCGAGCGUUAUCCGGAUUUAUUGGGUUUAAAGGGAGCGUAGGCGGUCUUAUAAGUCAGUGGUGAAAUCUCGUUGCUUAACAACGAACGUGCCAUUGAUACUGUAGGACUUGAGUACAGUUGCCGUUGGCGGAAUGUGUCAUGUAGCGGUGAAAUGCAUAGAUAUGACACAGAACACCGAUUGCGAAGGCAGCUUACUACACAACGAUUGACGCUGAGGCACGAAAGCGUGGGGAUCAAACAGG